UACGUAAGGGGCAAGCGUUGUCCGGAAUCACUGGGCGUAAAGCGCACGUAGGCGGUUUGUCAAGUUGGGGGUGUAAGCUCUGGGCCUAACCCAGAAAUUGCCUCCAAAACUAGCAUACUUGAGUAUUAGAGGGGAAGCUGGAAUUCACGGUGUAGCGGUGAAAUGCGUAGAUAUCGUGGAGAACACCCGUGGCGAAGGCGGGCUUCUGGCUAAUUACUGACGCUGAGGUGCGAAAGCUAGGGGAGCGAACGGGAUUAGAAACCCCUGUAGU
Molecule: ribosomal RNA, 271 nt
Filed under: uncultured bacterium
Lineage: Bacteria
Description: partial 16S ribosomal RNA
Rfam family: Bacterial small subunit ribosomal RNA
Source: RNAcentral